AUGCUUUCCUUAUGGUAUUCAUUAGUUAAGGCACUGCGUUUCGGAUCGACGACACUUUAUGCAUGGGUGGGGUUGGUUGUUUUGAGCCACUUAAUUUACGGGUGGCGAUUGCUGUCACCGUUGUUUAAUACCAAAUAUAUUAUCCGUCUGGCUAGAUUUUUGUUUGUGUUUGUGUCACAGGCUGCUAAGAAUGUUCUAGCUGCUGCGGCGGUGACACCGUCAGUUCCUGCUUUCAGGGCACCCUACUGCAAAUACACCUUCUGGAUCAGAGUCCUCCCAUCGGGGCGCCGCCAUCGUCCUCGCACCGUGGCGCGCUGCGCCGGAGACACGGACGAGGUCGAGCAGUAUGUGCCUUCGUCCUCUUCCCUCGGAGUGUGGGGCCGAGGAGAAGAAAUAUGUGGCAUCUUCAUCGUUGUCCUCUUGGCGCGCGGUGCUGGAGAGACAGAAAAGGAGGCGCGCGGUGCUGGAGAGACAGAAAAGGAGGCCGAGAGCUGGAAGUGCGCCAUAUUGUAG
RNAcentral lists this ribosomal RNA (513 nucleotides) under Triticum aestivum (bread wheat). RNAcentral's name for it is "partial small subunit ribosomal RNA". The record is from RNAcentral. Lineage: Eukaryota; Viridiplantae; Streptophyta; Magnoliopsida; Poales; Poaceae.